This 253-nucleotide ribosomal RNA is filed under the name uncultured bacterium. RNAcentral's name for it is "partial 16S ribosomal RNA". It matches the Rfam family "Bacterial small subunit ribosomal RNA", at positions 524 to 777 of the family's 1533-position model. The record is from RNAcentral.
UACGGAGGGUGCAAGCGUUGUUCGGAUUUACUGGGCGUAAGCGCGCGCAGGUGGGUGAACAAGUCGGAAGUGAAAUCUUGAGGCUCAACCUCGAGGCUGCUCCCGAAACUGUUCGCCUAGGGACUGGUAGAGGCUGGUAGAAUUCCCGGUGUAGCGGUGGGAUGCGUAGAGAUCGGGAAGAACACCAAUGGCGAAGGCAGCUCGCUGGGACGUUACUGACGCUGAGACGCGAAAGCGUGGGGAGCAAACAGGG